UACGUAGGAGACAAGCGUUGUCCGGAAUUACUGGGUGUAAAGCGCGUGUAGGCGGUAGGCCAAGUCUGCUGUGAAAUCGCCCGGCUCAACUGGGCGCGGUCGGUGGAAACUGGUCAACUGGAGGACGGUAGAGGCGAGUGGAAUUCCCGGUGUAGUGGUGAAAUGCGUAGAGAUCGGGAGGAACACCAGUGGCGAAGGCGGCUCGCUGGGCCGGUCCUGACGCUGAGACGCGAAGGCGUGGGGAGCAAACGGG
Molecule: ribosomal RNA, 253 nt
Filed under: uncultured bacterium
Lineage: Bacteria
Description: partial 16S ribosomal RNA
Rfam family: Bacterial small subunit ribosomal RNA
Source: RNAcentral